Long non-coding RNA from Homo sapiens (human), 442 nucleotides. Lineage: Eukaryota; Metazoa; Chordata; Mammalia; Primates; Hominidae. The record is from Ensembl.
AUAACCCAUAACUAACCACAACAAUAUGGGUAAAUCUCGUAAACAUGAUGCUGAGCAAAAGAACCCACAUGUAAGAAAGUGUGUAGGAUAGGAUUUCAUUCAUAUCAGGUACGAACGCAGCCGCAGUCACUCUAUGCUAGAGCCCUGGGAGAGUGAGAGACAGGUGCAUGCAAGGGACUUCUGGAGUGCAGCCAAUGUCCUGAUCCCUGACCUGGCUGCUGGCUACAGGGUUGUGCAGUUAUCAAGAAACUAAGCAUAUGGUCAAAACAUUCAAGAAACACAGCGGGAAAUUCUAUGACUCACACACACGUGUUAAGAAUGAUGUGAAAUGGAGCACAAGGUUUUCAGUGUUACAUUUCUACCUUAAAAUGGUCCACCGUAUGUGUUACCUUUCUACCUUGACUGUACCUUACAUAUGACUUAAUAAAUCAUAAUAAAUAAA